Molecule: ribosomal RNA, 620 nt
Filed under: Myxarium nucleatum
Lineage: Eukaryota; Fungi; Basidiomycota; Agaricomycetes; Auriculariales; Hyaloriaceae
Description: eukaryotic LSU rRNA
Rfam family: Eukaryotic large subunit ribosomal RNA
Source: RNAcentral
GCGGAGGAAAAGAAACUAACAAGGAUUCCCCUAGUAACGGCGAGUGAAGAGGGAAAAGCUCAAAUUUAAAAUCUGGCGGUCUACGGCCGUCCGAGUUGUAAUUUAGAGAGAUGUUUUCCGCGUCGGACCACACACAAGUCCUUUGGGAUAAGGCUUCAUAGAGGGUGAGAAUCCCGUACAUGGUGUGGACUACCGGGGCUAUGUGAUGCAUCCUCGAAGAGUCGAGUUGUUUGGGAAUGCAGCUCAAAAUGGGUGGUAAAUUCCAUCUAAAGCUAAAUAUUGGGGAGAGACCGAUAGCGCACAAGUACCGUGAGGGAAAGAUGAAAAGCACUUUGGAAAGAGAGUUAAACAGUACGUGAAAUUGCUGAAAGGGAAACGCUUGGAGUCAGUCGCGUCUUAUUGGACUCAGCCGUGGUUCUCCGCGGUGUACUUCUGAUGAGAUGGGCCAACAUCGAUUUUGUUCGCCGUACAAAGGCGGGAGGAAGGUGGCAUCUCUCGGGAUGUGUUAUAGCCUCUCGUUGUAUGCGGUGGGUGGGAUCGAGGAACGCAGCGCGCCCGCAAGGGUUGGGAUUCGUCCACAUACGCGCUUCGGAUGUUGGCGUAAUGGCUUUAAACGACCC